CUCCUAUUCCAAUGUAGGUUCACUGUCCGGAUUUGGACUGAAAUUUGCACUUGGCUUGGCAUUCUUGACUCCUCACCAAUGAUUUGGCGUCAUGAAGACUCAGUUAAAGAUUGGUGGCUUAAGACGGUUAGUGGGGGAGGUGACCACAGGAAGGCCACCGCCUCCUUGAUGAUGCUUGUCUCAUGGGAAAUUUGAAAGGAGCGCAACGCAAGAAUUUUUCAGAAUGUCUCCGCUCCGACCUCUAUUGUUAUCGCGAAAAUCAAGGAGGAGGCUCAUCUUUGGACUUUGGCAGGAGCGAAGCAGCUUAGUAUUGUUAUGUCGCGAGAGUAG
RNAcentral lists this ribosomal RNA (330 nucleotides) under Triticum aestivum (bread wheat). Its description in RNAcentral is "partial small subunit ribosomal RNA". Lineage: Eukaryota; Viridiplantae; Streptophyta; Magnoliopsida; Poales; Poaceae. The record is from RNAcentral.